GACGAACGCUGGCGGCGUGCCUAAUACAUGCAAGUUGAGCGAGGAAGAUUGGUGCUUGCACCAAUUUGAAGAGCAGCGAACGGGUGAGUAACGCGUGGGGAAUCUGCCUUGGAGCGGGGGACAACAUUUGGAAACGAAUGCUAAUACCGCAUAACAACUUUAAACAUAAGUUUUAAGUUUGAAAGAUGCAAUUGCAUCACUCAAAGAUGAUCCCGCGUUGUAUUAGCUAGUUGUUGAGGUAAAGGCUCACCAAGGGGUGGAUACAUAGCCGACCAGCGAGGGUAAUAGGCAAAAUUGGGCCUGGAACACGGCCCAAAACCUUGCGGGAGGCAGCAGGAGGGAACCUUCGGCGAUGGAAGAAAGUCUGAAUGAGCAACGCCGCGGGAGUGAAGAAGGUUGUCGGGUCGUGAAAGUCUGUUGGUAGUGAAGAACGUUGGUGAGAGUGGAAAGCUCAGAAAGUGACGGUACCUACGCAGAAAGGGACGGCUAACUACGUG
RNAcentral lists this ribosomal RNA (497 nucleotides) under uncultured bacterium. RNAcentral describes it as "partial 16S ribosomal RNA". It matches the Rfam family "Bacterial small subunit ribosomal RNA", at positions 28 to 507 of the family's 1533-position model. The record is from RNAcentral.